Molecule: transfer RNA, 70 nt
Filed under: Loxodonta africana (African savanna elephant)
Lineage: Eukaryota; Metazoa; Chordata; Mammalia; Proboscidea; Elephantidae
Rfam family: tRNA
About the family: Transfer RNA (tRNA) molecules are approximately 80 nucleotides in length.
Source: Rfam by way of RNAcentral
AGCCCUGGCUGUGCAGUGGUUAAGCUCUUGGCUGCUAACCAAAAGAUUGGUGGUUCGAGCCCACCGGCUA